UCUUCAAAACGAGAAUUUCGACACUAAUUUCAAAAAAUUCGACCCAAAAUUGGGCCGAACGGGCCGAACCGAUCGAACUGGCCCUGAACCGGGCCCGUGGGCCCAAUAUAUAUAAUCAUCAUUUCAGCCACUUCCCAUUAUUUGUUUCCCUUCCAGCGCCGAGAAGAGAGAUUGAAGAAAAGCAAAGCCACCAAAACCUAAAUCCUUAUCAAUUUUCAAUUCAUCAUAACUUUCGAUCCGGAGCUCCGAUUGACGAGCCGUUUGCGGUCACGCGUUCGUCUUGGAGUCCUCUUCAAUUCUAUCUGAACAAAGUGGUAAGUUUAUCACCAAUUCAUUCCCAUUUCUCUGUGCCCCUUUUCUACACGAAAAUUAUUGAGGUUUUGAGUGAUUUUGAUAAUUUUGGUGGUUUAGGUGCAAACUAAAAUGGGAUAAUUAUUGGGUUGCACUCCAAUCAUCAAUGGGUACGGUGUGAAUUGAGUCAUAUAUAUAUGCAUUGGAAUUGAGUUGGGAGUACUUGGAGGCUUAUUGGUGAUCAAAGCUUAUUUUGGGGUUGUUUUAAUUAAGUUUGGAAGGGCUGUGAUUUGUGUUGUGAGGCUGCCUUGGGUGAAACUAAGUGAUCGGCCAAGAUGCAGGUCGAAAGGCUCCUCGCUAGGCGUCUGGAUCCUGGGAAGCAAAGUAGUCCUUGGGUGUAUUUUGGUUUUCUAUUUGUAUAUAUGUAAAUAUGUAUUUAGCUUACUCUCCAAGUAACUUAUGUAUUCUGCUCCUCUUAGAGGUUGAGGGAGAGAUAGGAGUUUACUUUGGUACCUUGGUGUAUUUUGGAAAUACUUAUGUAUGUUUAUAUGUAUAUAUAUACCCUCUGGCCAGCCUUAGCUUUGCAGGCUGAGUCAAGAGCUAGUUAUGUUGUUUC
Arachis ipaensis is the source of this 907-nucleotide non-coding RNA. The record is from RefSeq and is a predicted model, not a curated record. Lineage: Eukaryota; Viridiplantae; Streptophyta; Magnoliopsida; Fabales; Fabaceae.